AAUGAACGCUGGCGGCGCGCCUAAUACAUGCAAGUCGAGCGAGAAGACGUAGCAAUACGUUUGUAAAGCGGCGAACGGGUGAGGAAUACAUGGGUAACCUACCCUAGAGUGGGGAAUAACUAGCCGAAAGGUUAGCUAAUACCGCGUACGCUCCUUGGACUUCGGUUCAGGGAGGAAAGCGAUGCCGAGGGUAUCGCGCUCUUGGAUGGGCUCAUGUCCUAUCAGCUGUUGGUGAGGUAACGGCUCACCAAGGCUUCGACGGGUAGCUGGUCUGAGAGGACGAUCAGCCACACUGGCACUGCGACACGGGGCCAGACUCCUACGGGAGGCAGCAGUAAGGAAUAUUGCGCAAUGGGCGAAAGCCUGACGCAGCGACGCCGCGUGGGGGA
This 389-nucleotide ribosomal RNA is filed under the name uncultured bacterium. RNAcentral's name for it is "bacterial SSU rRNA". It matches the Rfam family "Bacterial small subunit ribosomal RNA", at positions 29 to 408 of the family's 1533-position model. The record is from RNAcentral.